RNAcentral lists this ribosomal RNA (253 nucleotides) under uncultured bacterium. RNAcentral describes it as "partial 16S ribosomal RNA". It matches the Rfam family "Bacterial small subunit ribosomal RNA", at positions 524 to 776 of the family's 1533-position model. The record is from RNAcentral.
UACGUAGGCAGCAAGCGUUGUUCGGAGUUACUGGGCGUAAAGGGUGCGUAGGCGGCUUUUUAAGUUUGGUGUGAAAUCUCCCGGCUCAACUGGGAGUGUGCGCCGAAUACUGAGAGGCUAGAGUGUGGGAGAGGAAAGUGGAAUUCCUGGUGUAGCGGUGAAAUGCGUAGAUAUCAGGAGGAACACCGGUGGUGUAAACGGCUUUCUGGACCAUAACUGACGCUGAGGCACGAAAGCGUGGGUAGCAAACAGG